Molecule: ribosomal RNA, 459 nt
Filed under: uncultured bacterium
Lineage: Bacteria
Description: partial 16S ribosomal RNA
Rfam family: Bacterial small subunit ribosomal RNA
Source: RNAcentral
CCUACGGGGGGCAGCAGUGAGGAAUAUUGGUCAAUGGCCGCAGGGCUGAACCAGCCAAGUCGCGUGAGGGAUGACGGUCCUAUGGAUUGUAAACCUCUUUUGUCAGGGAGCAAAGGGCGCCACGUGUGGCGCUUUGCGAGUACCUGAAGAAAAAGCAUCGGCUAACUCCGUGCCAGCAGCCGCGGUAAUACGGAGGAUGCGAGCGUUAUCCGGAUUUAUUGGGUUUAAAGGGUGCGCAGGCGGAAUGUCAAGUCAGCGGUAAAAUUUCGGGGCUCAACCCCGUCGUGCCGUUGAAACUGGCGUUCUUGAGUGAGUGAGAGGUAUGCGGAAUGCGUGGUGUAGCGGUGAAAUGCAUAGAUAUCACGCAGAACUCCGAUUGCGAAGGCAGCAUACCGGCGCUCAACUGACGCUCAUGCACGAAAGUGUGGGUAUCGAACAGGAUUAGAUACCCCAGUAGUC